CCAGACUCCUACGGGAGGCAGCAGUGAGGAAUAUUGGUCAAUGGGCGGGAGCCUGAACCAGCCAAGCCGCGUGAGGGAAGAAGGUACAGCGUAUCGUAAACCUCUUUUGUCAGGGAACAAAGGCGGGGACUAGUCCCCGGAUGAGGGUACCUGAAGAAAAAGCAUCGGCUAACUCCGUGCCAGCAGCCGCGGUAAUACGUAGGUGGCAAGCGUUGUCCGGAUUUACUGGGUGUAAAGGGCGUGCAGCCGGGCUGACAAGUCAGAUGUGAAAUCCCGCGGCUCAACCGCGGAACUGCAUUUGAAACUGUCAGUCUUGAGUACCGGAGAGGUCAUCGGAAUUCCUUGUGUAGCGGUGAAAUGCGUAGAUAUAAGGAAGAACACCAGUGGCGAAGGCGGAUGACUGGACGGCAACUGACGGUGAGGCGCGAAAGCGUGGGGAGCAAACAGGAUUAGAUACCCUUGUACUG
Molecule: ribosomal RNA, 467 nt
Filed under: uncultured bacterium
Lineage: Bacteria
Description: bacterial SSU rRNA
Rfam family: Bacterial small subunit ribosomal RNA
Source: RNAcentral